This 283-nucleotide long non-coding RNA is filed under the name Elaeis guineensis (African oil palm). Its description in RNAcentral is "long non-coding RNA (EGUI_LNC034078)". The record is from RNAcentral. Lineage: Eukaryota; Viridiplantae; Streptophyta; Magnoliopsida; Arecales; Arecaceae.
CGUCAAGUCGAAACUCACGAUAGAGAGAUUAUAUCACAUGAUAAUUGCACCUAGGAAUUUAUUUUUUUGUUCUACUGGAUUGUCAUUAUAUGUUGCUAGGCAUCAUUGAUAGAUCGUGAGAACUCACUAAGAUCAUUUUCGGAUCAACAAUCUUUAUUGAGGUGAGUUGGAAUCAUUUCAACCCAUCGAAAAGACUUUUGAUGAUACGGUGAUGGAGAUCACAGUAUGUCUGACUACCAGAUAAAGUAGAACCUAAGGGGUCAUACACAAAAGGAGCAUGACC